RNAcentral lists this ribosomal RNA (245 nucleotides) under uncultured bacterium. Its description in RNAcentral is "partial small subunit ribosomal RNA". It matches the Rfam family "Bacterial small subunit ribosomal RNA", at positions 26 to 285 of the family's 1533-position model. The record is from RNAcentral.
AGAAUCAACGCUGGCGGCGUGCCUAACACAUGCAAGUCGCACGAGAAAAGGACUUCGGUCCUGAGUACAGUGGCGCACGGGUGAGUAACACGUGAAUCAUCUACCUUCGAGUGGGGAAUAACUGAGAGAAAUCUUAGCUAAUACCGCAUAAUACCCACGGGUCAAAGCAGCAAUGCGCUUGAAGAGGAGUUCGCGGCAGAUUAGUUAGUUGGCGGGGUAAUGGCCCACCAAGACGAUGAUCUGUA